This 279-nucleotide RNase P RNA is filed under the name Mycoplasma sp. Pen4. RNAcentral describes it as "Bacterial RNase P class B". It matches the Rfam family "Bacterial RNase P class B". Rfam says of the family: Ribonuclease P (RNase P) is a ubiquitous endoribonuclease, found in archaea, bacteria and eukarya as well as chloroplasts and mitochondria. The record is from Rfam by way of RNAcentral. Lineage: Bacteria; Bacillati; Mycoplasmatota; Mollicutes; Mycoplasmatales; Mycoplasmataceae.
ACGCAUAGUUGGUAGCUGCUCUUUUGAGUAGAGGAAAGUCCGUGCUAGCACCAUCUGCGAUGAUGGUAGUGAUCAUGCUAAGCCAAAUAAGCUUAGGCCCAGACGACUAGUGCCACAGAGACGAGAAUUGUGAAACGCGGUAAACUCCAUGAGCUAGAAACCCAAAUUUUGGUAGGGGAACCCGAAACAAGGAAUUGAACAAGUUUUGGGAGUGUUAUUUUAUAACAUUAGAUAAAUUACCAACACUGAUUUUAUCAGAACAGAACACGGCUUAUAAUG